ACCCUGGUCCUGUGUAUGAAGACAUCCCAGCUCAAGUAACACAACAGGUUGACCUUUACGAUAGCAGAGCUGACUAUAAGGACCAGAUAAAUCCUCUCUACUCCACCGUCCAGCCACAUCAGCCUGGAGAACAGGAGCAAGACCCCUAUUCUGUUGUCAACUAAAGAUCCAACACAACCCCUGAUUAUAACGGCCAGGUGAUGGAUCCCUCAAGUCCAGACAACACAGAAAACAAAAACUUAAAGAGAGUGAUAGGGUGAUAUCAGCUAAAUUGGGCCAUCAGGUAAAAUGGGCCAUUUAAGGUCUGAGCAUCUUGGCUCUUUAACGAUGAACAGCCAAUGACUGCAAAUUAUUUAAAACUCUUGCCACAACUGCACUUUAUAUGUAACAAUUGAUUUGACUGGUCUGAGGUUGUUAAGGAGGGAGGGACAAUACUUCAUAUCAAGACUGCUGAAGAAAACUGCAUGGUUAGUUGCCUUACAUACCAAAUCUUACUUGUCAAUGAUAAGGUUGAUAAAUCAAUAAUAAAGAAACUCACUGUGUGUGCACCACUCAUGAGUGCCAAUAUGAGUUGUGCACACACACCACACAAACUUAGAAGUGAAAAGAGUAAGAAAGAAACAGAAAGAAGGGUAAGAAAGAAACAG
Long non-coding RNA from Scomber scombrus (Atlantic mackerel), 647 nucleotides. RefSeq lists it as uncharacterized. The record is from RefSeq and is a predicted model, not a curated record. The transcript is spliced from 3 exons. Lineage: Eukaryota; Metazoa; Chordata; Actinopteri; Scombriformes; Scombridae.